Molecule: unclassified non-coding RNA, 253 nt
Filed under: uncultured Alphaproteobacteria bacterium
Lineage: Bacteria; Pseudomonadati; Pseudomonadota; Alphaproteobacteria
Description: contains 16S-23S intergenic spacer region
Rfam family: Bacterial small subunit ribosomal RNA
Source: RNAcentral
UACGGAGGGGGCUAGCGUUGUUCGGAAUUACUGGGCGUAAAGCGCACGUAGGCGGCGCGACAAGUCAGAGGUGAAAGGCCUGGGCUCAACCUGGGAACUGCCUUUGAGACUGGCGUGCUUGAGUUCGGGAGAGGGUGAUGGAAUUCCCAGUGUAGAGGUGAAAUUCGUAGAUAUUGGGAAGAACACCGGUGGCGAAGGCGGUCACCUGGCCCGUAACUGACGCUGAGGUGCGAAAGCGUGGGGAGCAAACAGG